AACGAACGCUGGCGGCAUGCCUAACACAUGCAAGUCGAGCGAGACCUUCGGGUCUAGUGGCGCACGGGUGCGUAACGCGUGGGAACCUGCCCUUAGGUUCGGAAUAACUCCCCGAAAGGGGUGCUAAUACCGGAUAAUGUCUUCGGACCAAAGAUUUAUCGCCUUUGGAUGGGCCCGCGUUGGAUUAGCUAGUUGGUAGGGUAAAAGCCUACCAAGGCGACGAUCCAUAGCUGGUCUGAGAGGAUGAUCAGCCACACUGGGACUGAGACACGGCCCAGACUCCUGCGGGAGGCAGCAGUGGGGAAUAUUGGACAAUGGGCGAAAGCCUGAUCCAGCAAUGCCGCGUGAGUGAUGAAGGCCUUAGGGUUGUAAAGCUCUUUUACCCGGGAUGAUAAUGACAGUACCGGGAGAAUAAGCUCCGGCUAACUCCGUG
This 433-nucleotide ribosomal RNA is filed under the name uncultured bacterium. RNAcentral's name for it is "partial 16S ribosomal RNA". It matches the Rfam family "Bacterial small subunit ribosomal RNA", at positions 29 to 507 of the family's 1533-position model. The record is from RNAcentral.